Molecule: long non-coding RNA, 1306 nt
Organism: Acinonyx jubatus (cheetah)
Lineage: Eukaryota; Metazoa; Chordata; Mammalia; Carnivora; Felidae
Exons: 2
Source: RefSeq, a predicted model, not a curated record
UCUAGGGCAGAAUCUGUCCACCGUCCAGCUUCUGGUGGCCCCUGGCGUCCCCUGGCUCGUGGGCACAUCCUCCCCCCUCUUGCCGUCUUCUCCUGUGUGUCUGUCCCUGCAGCCCUCUGGCUGUCUCACGAGGCAGGGCACUGCAUAAGGAUCCUUGGGAUUAUCUUCCGGACCCCCCCCCCCCCAGAUAAUCCAGGAUAAACACUGCUCUGAACAUCUUUCAUUUAAUCCCACCUUUGGCCAUGUGAGUUGAUAUUCGUCAGUUCCAGGGGUUGGGAUGGAACAUAUCCCCCAGCACUAGGCAGGUCCCCCAGAUCUAGACCAGGGCAGACCUCAGUAGACCCUCAGGUGAACAUGACCCCAAGGGGCCUGGUUCUGAGAGUUCCUUCAAAGGCGGCCCUGGCUUUUCAGGAAUCCACCGGGGACCCCCUCACUGCUCCUCUGGCCCACGCCCUGUGGAGAAGAGUGGCAAGGUGUCCGACAGAAAAAAUGGGAUUUUAGGAGAGAGAGAGAGCAGGGCCCGGCUAUCCCGGGCCAGUCUGCAGCCUCAGGCUACGCCUCCUGCUGAAAUUCUGAGAAAUCCCCCGAAUUCAUAUUCCAGGCUUGUCGGGAAUCAUUCAAAAAGUUGGAAGGCUGAGCAGUUGACGACAGACCCGGAGAAACUGGAUGGAGAGUCUCCUGCCGAUGAACCCAAAAAACCAGUAAGCGUGAUGUGAAAAACUAUUCACCUGAGCUCACUCGGUGCAAUGGGAUUUGGUCUGCACUCGCCGACGUCUGAGCAGGCUAGCUGGGCAAGGCUGGUCACAGACGACAGGUGCUCUCGCUGACCGAGGGGGGUUCCGCUUGCGGGCAGUCUGGUGGCCUGAGGGGAGGCGCCCCGUUUGGCGAGUCACCGUCUGGCAGGCAGAAGCCUCAGACUGAUGACAGUGGAGGGUUGCUACGGAGAAGUUAUUGUGAGAAAUGGGAAUUUGGAUGUAACAGAAAGGAUUUGAGAGACGAGGAGGGAUUUUGGUACAAGAAUGCCCCCUAGGUCCACCUUGGAAACUGAGGCAGUGUAAAGGUCGGAAGAAAUCCAUGAAGUGUGCAGGCUGCAGAGCCACGGCUUGGGUCCAGAGAGGCCACCUAACCAGCCACCGGGACUCCCUCCACACCCACGACAGGCUCAGCUCCCUUGCAAAGAACCAAGGCUUUUUGCUCAUGGGUGGAGGAAUAUUCUGGUUGUGUCCAACACUCAGAAACUGCGUGUGACUCUAAGAUAAACGGUUAAUUACCCCGAAGCAAGCAGCCUCGACCCCCAACGCCAACA